CUGUCUUGAUGCCAACAGGCAUUUGUUGUUGUUGUUGUGUUCAUAAUGACCUCUGUCUAAAAAUUCUGUAGGCUUCCAGGAAGGGACACAGUGACUGUGAUAAAAUGGACUUCUCCUCCCUGCCCCCUCUGGUUACCAUGGCAACUGUGAAUGACUGAUUUCCUGGUUGCCAUGUAAAUGCCGUGGGAUCCCAGCCACUGCACCACACAAAGACGUCAGUAAGAAUAGUGAGAAAACAAAAAUCAUAUCUAAAAAGACAAAGGAUUUCAUCUCAAGCCUUUCUCUCACACAAAGCAGAGGAAAGGAAUCAAUUGUAAUAAGAAAUGGUACUCUUCCUGUGCCAUAAAAAAGCAUGAAAUCAUUUCUGAAUGCCUGUCUUAUGGAAGGUUGGAGCUGCAAUGAGCUGACGCAUGCCAAGUUUUACAAAUGCCAGAGAGUUGACGCUGAGGGGGUGCUCCAGGGUACAAGGUGGAUAGAUCCCGGCCCGGGAGAUGCGAAGCGACUGAAGGAUUAUGGGACAGAAUGAAGUACCAUUAAGGGAGCUUGCUGCCCAGAGGAAUGGAGAGUCAACUGCAACAAAGCUGGUAGAAGCCACUUGAAGUAUAAAACAGAUCCAUGUUUGUACUUCACCAGCUUGAGUGUCUUUAGACUGGCUGAGUAGCUGGAACAGCCCACGUAAACCCUACUAAACACUGAUGGGGGAAAUUGAGAAGAGAAAGCAUAGGGAGGAGAUGAAUUUAUUUUGCCUGGGCUUCCAGGAGAGUCUUUAGAACAGAAAUAGCAAUUGAGACAGUGGCUGAGGGCUGAGUAGGAGAAAGGGGACUCUUCAGGCUGAGGUAUCUGCCUGUUCAGAAGUGUGAUGUGGGACAGAGCCAUGAGGUCUAGUGGGAACAAAUGGCCAGGCUGUGUUGGUGGAG
Molecule: long non-coding RNA, 917 nt
Filed under: Capra hircus (goat)
Lineage: Eukaryota; Metazoa; Chordata; Mammalia; Artiodactyla; Bovidae
Description: lncRNA (ENSCHIG00000000957.1)
Source: RNAcentral